RNAcentral lists this ribosomal RNA (450 nucleotides) under uncultured bacterium. RNAcentral's name for it is "partial 16S ribosomal RNA". It matches the Rfam family "Bacterial small subunit ribosomal RNA", at positions 354 to 796 of the family's 1533-position model. The record is from RNAcentral.
GUGGGGAAUCUUCCGCAAUGGACGAAAGUCUGACGGAGCGACGCCGCGUGAGUGAAGAAGGCCUUCGGGUCGUAAAGCUCUGUCAUCAGGGACGAACGGCCGGUGGAGUGGAAAGCCACCGGAUUGACGGUACCUGAGAAGGAAGCCACGGCUAACUACGUGCCAGCAGCCGCGGUAAUACGUAGGUGGCAAGCGUUGUCCGGAAUUAUUGGGCGUAAAGCGCGCGCAGGUGGGAUCUUAAGUCCAUUUUUAAAGUUCGGAGCUCAACUCCGUGAUGGGAUGGAAACUGGGAUUCUUGAGUACCGGAGAGGAAAGCGGAAUUCCCCGUGUAGCGGUGAAAUGCGUAGAUAUGGGGAGGAACACCAGUGGCGAAGGCGGCUUUCUGGACGGUGUCUGACACUGAGGCGCGAAAGCCAGGGGAGCGAACGGGAUUAGAUACCCUAGUAGUCC